RNAcentral lists this ribosomal RNA (373 nucleotides) under uncultured organism. RNAcentral's name for it is "partial 16S ribosomal RNA". It matches the Rfam family "Bacterial small subunit ribosomal RNA", at positions 527 to 896 of the family's 1533-position model. The record is from RNAcentral.
GUAGGUGGCAAGCGUUGUCCGGAAUUAUUGGGCGUAAAGCGUGCGCAGGCGGUUCUUUAAGUCUGAUGUGAAAGCCCACGGGCUCAACCGUGGAGGGUCAUUGGAAACUGGAGAACUUGAGUACAGAAGAGGAAAGCGGAAUUCCACGUGUAGCGGUGAAAUGCGUAGAGAUGUGGAGGAACACCAGUGGCGAAGGCGGCUUUCUGGUUUGUAACUGACGCUGAGGCGCGAAAGCGUGGGGAGCAAACAGGAUUAGAUACCCUGGUAGUCCACGCCGUAAACGAUGAGUGCUAAGUGUUAGGGGGUUUCCGCCCCUUAGUGCUGCAGCUAACGCAUUAAGCACUCCGCCUGGGGAGUACGGCCGCAAAGGCUG